This 801-nucleotide ribosomal RNA is filed under the name uncultured bacterium. RNAcentral describes it as "bacterial SSU rRNA". It matches the Rfam family "Bacterial small subunit ribosomal RNA", at positions 69 to 865 of the family's 1533-position model. The record is from RNAcentral.
GCACGGGUGCUUGCACCUGGUGGCGAGCGGCGGACGGGUGAGUAACGCGUGGGAACGUGCCCAUUAGUGGGGGAUAACCUGGGGAAACUCAGGCUAAUACCGCAUAAGCCCUACGGGGGAAAGCGGGGGAUCCUCGGACCUCGCGCUAAUGGAUCGGCCCGCGUCAGAUUAGCUAGUUGGUAGGGUAAAGGCCUACCAAGGCGACGAUCUGUAACUGGUCUGAGAGGAUGAUCAGUCACACCGGAACUGAGACACGGUCCGGACUCCUACGGGAGGCAGCAGUGGGGAAUCUUGGACAAUGGGCGCAAGCCUGAUCCAGCCAUGCCGCGUGUGUGAAGAAGGCCCUAGGGUUGUAAAGCACUUUCAGCAGGGAGGAAGGCUUCUGGUUAAUACCUGGGAGUACUUGACGUUACCUGCAGAAGAAGCACCGGCUAAUUUCGUGCCAGCAGCCGCGGUAAUACGAAAGGUGCGAGCGUUAAUCGGAAUUACUGGGCGUAAAGCGCGCGUAGGCGGCUAUUUAAGUCUGAUGUGAAAUCCCUGGGCUCAACCUGGGAACUGCAUCGGAUACUGGGUAGCUAGAGUGCAGUAGAGGAAGGUGGAAUUCCAGGUGUAGCGGUGAAAUGCGUAGAGAUCUGGAGGAACACCAGUGGCGAAGGCGGCCUUCUGGACUGACACUGACGCUGAGGUGCGAAAGCGUGGGGAUCAAACAGGAUUAGAUACCCUGGUAGUCCACGCCGUAAACGAUGUCUACUAGCCGUUGGUGCCCUUAGUGGUGCUGGUGGCGCAGCUAACGCAUUAAGU